Molecule: ribosomal RNA, 460 nt
Filed under: uncultured bacterium
Lineage: Bacteria
Description: partial 16S ribosomal RNA
Rfam family: Bacterial small subunit ribosomal RNA
Source: RNAcentral
CCUACGGGAGUCUGCAGUGAGGACUAUUGGUCAAUGGGCGCGAGCCUGAACCAGCCAAGUAGCGUGAAGGAUGACUGCCCUACGGGUUGUAAACUUCUUUUAUAAAGGAAUAAAGUGAGGCACGUGUGCCUUUUUGUAUGUAUUUUAUGAAUAAGGAUCGGCUAAAUCCGUGCCAGCAGCCGCGGUAAUACGGAGGAUCCGAGCGUUAUCCGGAUUUAUUGGGUUUAAAGGGAGCGUAGAUGGGUUGUUAAGUCAGUUGUGAAGGUUUGCGGCUCAACCGUAAAAUUGCAAUUGAGACUGGCAGCCUUGAGUACAGUUGAGGUAGGCGGAAUUCGUGGUGUAGCGGUGAAAUGCUGAGAUAUCACGAAGAACUCCGAUUGCGAAGGCAGCCUACUAAACUGCCACUGACAUUGAUGCUCGAAAGUGUGGGUAUCAAACAGGAGUAGAUACCCCUGUAGUC